AUUGAACGCUGGCGGCAGGCCUAACACAUGCAAGUCGAGCGGAUGAAGGGAGCUUGCUCCUGGAUUCAGCGGCGGACGGGUGAGUAAUGCCUAGGAAUCUGCCUGGUAGUGGGGGAUAACGUCCGGAAACGGGCGCUAAUACCGCAUACGUCCAGAGGGAGAAAGUGGGGGAUCUUCGGACCUCCCGCUAUCAGAUGAGCCUAGGUCGGAUUAGCUAGUUGGUGGGGUAAAGGCCUACCAAGGCGACGAUCCGUAACUGGUCUGAGAGGAUGAUCAGUCACACUGGAACUGAGACACGGUCCAGACUCCUACGGGAGGCAGCAGUGGGGAAUAUUGGACAAUGGGCGAAAGCCUGAUCCAGCCAUGCCGCGUGUGUGAAGAAGGUCUUCGGAUUGUAAAGCACUUUAAGUUGGGAGGAAGGGCAGUAAGUUAAUACCUUGCUGUUUUGACGUUACCAACAGAAUAAGCACCGGCUAACUUCGUG
RNAcentral lists this ribosomal RNA (484 nucleotides) under uncultured bacterium. RNAcentral describes it as "partial 16S ribosomal RNA". It matches the Rfam family "Bacterial small subunit ribosomal RNA", at positions 30 to 507 of the family's 1533-position model. The record is from RNAcentral.